This 45-nucleotide non-coding RNA is filed under the name Schistosoma haematobium. Lineage: Eukaryota; Metazoa; Platyhelminthes; Trematoda; Strigeidida; Schistosomatidae. The record is from RNAcentral.
AUCCAACUGUCGAGUCCCAAAUAGAACGGAACGUGAGUACUGGAU